AGAGUUUGAUCCUGGCUCAGAGUGAACGCUGGCGGCGUGCCUAAUACAUGCAAGUCGAACGAUGAAGCUUCUAGCUUGCUAGAAGUGGAUUAGUGGCGCACGGGUGAGUAACGCAUAGGUCAUGUGCCUCUUAGUUUGGGAUAGCCAUUGGAAACGAUGAUUAAUACCAGAUACUCCCUACGGGGGAAAGAUUUAUCGCUAAGAGAUCAGCCUAUGUCCUAUCAGCUUGUUGGUAAGGUAAUGGCUUACCAAGGCUAUGACGGGUAUCCGGCCUGAGAGGGUGAACGGACACACUGGAACUGAGACACGGUCCAGACUCCUACGGGAGGCAGCAGUAGGGAAUAUUGCUCAAUGGGGGAAACCCUGAAGCAGCAACGCCGCGUGGAGGAUGAAGGUUUUAGGAUUGUAAACUCCUUUUGUUAGAGAAGAUAAUGACGGUAUCUAACGAAUAAGCACCGGCUAACUCCGUGCCAGCAGCCGCGGUAAUACGGAGGGUGCAAGCGUUACUCGGAAUCACUGGGCGUAAAGAGCGCGUAGGCGGGAUAGUCAGUCAGGUGUGAAAUCCUAUGGCUUAACCAUAGAACUGCAUUUGAAACUACUAUUCUAGAGUGUGGGAGAGGUAGGUGGAAUUCUUGGUGUAGGGGUAAAAUCCGUAGAGAUCAAGAGGAAUACUCAUUGCGAAGGCGACCUGCUGGAACAUUACUGACGCUGAUUGCGCGAAAGCGUGGGGAGCAAACAGGAUUAGAUACCCUGGUAGUCCACGCCCUAAACGAUGGAUGCUAGUUGUUGGAGGGCUUAGUCUCUCCAGUAAUGCAGCUAACGCAUUAAGCAUCCCGCCUGGGGAGUACGGUCGCAAGAUUAAAACUCAAAGGAAUAGACGGGGACCCGCACAAGCGGUGGAGCAUGUGGUUUAAUUCGAAGAUACACGAAGAACCUUACCUAGGCUUGACAUUGAGAGAAUCCGCUAGAAAUAGUGGAGUGUCUGGCUUGCCAGACCUUGAAAACAGGUGCUGCACGGCUGUCGUCAGCUCGUGUCGUGAGAUGUUGGGUUAAGUCCCGCAACGAGCGCAACCCCCUUUCUUAGUUGCUAACAGGUCAUGCUGAGAACUCUAAGGAUACUGCCUCCGUAAGGAGGAGGAAGGUGGGGACGACGUCAAGUCAUCAUGGCCCUUACGCCUAGGGCUACACACGUGCUACAAUGGGGUGCACAAAGAGAAGCAAUACUGCGAAGUGGAGCCAAUCUUCAAAACACCUCUCAGUUCGGAUUGUAGGCUGCAACUCGCCUGCAUGAAGCUGGAAUCGCUAGUAAUCGCAAAUCAGCCAUGUUGCGGUGAAUACGUUCCCGGGUCUUGUACUCACCGCCCGUCACACCAUGGGAGUUGUGUUUGCCUUAAGUCAGGAUGCUAAAUUGGCUACUGCCCACGGCACACACAGCGACUGGGGUGAAGUCGUAACAAGGUAACCGUAGGUGAACCUGCGGUUG
This 1483-nucleotide ribosomal RNA is filed under the name Helicobacter pylori. RNAcentral describes it as "bacterial SSU rRNA". It matches the Rfam family "Bacterial small subunit ribosomal RNA". RNAcentral also lists the same sequence under 1 other name. The record is from RNAcentral. Lineage: Bacteria; Pseudomonadati; Campylobacterota; Epsilonproteobacteria; Campylobacterales; Helicobacteraceae.